This 497-nucleotide ribosomal RNA is filed under the name uncultured bacterium. RNAcentral describes it as "partial 16S ribosomal RNA". It matches the Rfam family "Bacterial small subunit ribosomal RNA", at positions 28 to 507 of the family's 1533-position model. The record is from RNAcentral.
GAUGAACGCUGGCGGCGUGCCUAAUACAUGCAAGUCGAGCGAACAGAUGAGGAGCUUGCUCCUCUGACGUUAGCGGCGGACGGGUGAGUAACACGUGGAUAACCUACCUAUAAGACUGGGAUAACUUCGGGAAACCGGAGCUAAUACCGGAUAAUAUAUUGAACCGCAUGGUUCAAUAGUGAAAGACGGUUUUGCUGUCACUUAUAGAUGGAUCCGCGCCGCAUUAGCUAGUUGGUAAGGUAACGGCUUACCAAGGCAACGAUGCGUAGCCGACCUGAGAGGGUGAUCGGCCACACUGGAACUGAGACACGGUCUAGACUCCUACGGGAGGCAGCAGUAGGGAAUCUUCCGCAAUGGGCGAAAGCCUGACGGAGCAACGCCGCGUGAGUGAUGAAGGUCUUCGGAUCGUAAAACUCUGUUAUUAGGGAAGAACAAAUGUGUAAGUAACUAUGCACGUCUUGACGGUACCUAAUCAGAAAGCCACGGCUAACUACGUG